GGUAUUCUAGAGCUAAUACAUGCUAAAAACCUCGACUUCGGAAGGGGUGUAUUUAUUAGAUAAAAAGCCAAUGCCCUCCGGGGCUCCCUGGUGAUUCAUAAUAACUCAACGAAUCGCAUGGCCUUGCGCCGGCGAUGGUUCAUUCAAAUUUCUGCCCUAUCAACUUUCGAUUGUAGGAUAGUGGCCUACAAUGGUUUCUACGGGUAACCGACCUCCGCGUUGCCCGUGGUGUAAAGCCGGAAAACAGUCGGGAGGAAUCCUUUCCCGGCGGCAUCACUGGCUUGGAGGAUGCCCGCCCGACGCCGUAACGUCGUUCGGGGGGCUGAUUCUAAGGCGAGUCCCUACAUCUAGGGACCGUCCCAACGCCUGCGAAGUGAUGGGCUCUCCUUCGGGAGGGCUUCAGACACAGACUCGUCCUCUCGGCUAAACCGAUGGGAACGCGCGAACGGGGAAUUAGGUACGUUCGGAUUUACUAUCCUCCAAUUCUAGAAAUUCAAUGCUAAUAUUCAUUUUUUUAGGGUUCUAUUCCGGAGAGGGAGCCUGAGAAACGGCUACCACAUCCAAGGAAGGCAGCAGGCGCGCAAAUUACCCAAUCCCGACACGGGGAGGUAGUGACAAUAAAUACUGAUACAGGGCUCUUUUGGGUCUUGUAAUUGGAAUGAGUACAAUUUAAAUCCCUUAACGAGGAACAAUUGGAGGGCAAGUCUGGUGGACGUUUACGUUCCAGUAUCGGGUAUUGAUACCCGCUGCUGACGCCAGUCAUAGACCGGACCCCCGGGCGUCCACGUCGCCCGGGGGUCUAGUUUAGUGGGUCGUUCGAAGGGGUUCGCUUCCAUGCCUCAACCGUCUGUUAAGCGAUCCCCGGGCGUCACCCGCAAGGUUCCCAGCAUGGGGAAGGGCCUCCGAAGGCCUUAUCCCGUGGCUCAAACGGCUUCGCCUUUGGCCUCAACGCGCGCUAGGGUGCCGGUGACUUGUUCUUUCGAGUCACUUAAGGUACGUGCUCAUCCCGCCCCGAAGGGUUUUUAACGCCGACAAUCAAGCGUUAUAGAGGGAGAAUAUAUGGCCAGCAGCCGCGGUAAUUCCAGCUCCAAUAGCGUAUAUNAAAGUNGUUGCAGUUAAAAAGCUCGUAGUUGAAACUUGGGCCUGGCUGACCGGUCCGCCUCACCGCGUGCACUGGUUCGGCCGGGCCUUUCCUUCUGGGGAACCGCAUGGCCUUCGUUGGUCGUGUUGGGGAUCCAGGACUUUUACUUUGAAAAAAUUAGAGUGUUCAAAGCAGGCCUAUGCUCGAAUACAUUAGCAUGGAAUAAUAGAAUAGGACGUGUGGUUCUAUUUUGUUGGUUUCUAGGACCGCCGUAAUGAUUAAUAGGGAUAGUCGGGGGCAUCAGUAUUCCGUUGUCAGAGGUGAAAUUCUUGGAUUUACGGAAGACUAACUACUGCGAAAGCAUUUGCCAAGGAUGUUUUCAUUAAUCAGUGAACGAAAGUUAGGGGAUCGAAGACGAUCAGAUACCGUCGUAGUCUUAACCAUAAACUAUGCCGACUGGGGAUCGGACGGUGUUAUUAUUUUGACCCGUUCGGCACCCUACGAGAAAUCAAAGUCUUUGGGUUCUGGGGGGAGUAUGGUCGCAAGGCUGAAACUUAAAGACAUUGACGGAAGGGCACCACCAGGCAGCUUUCUUCACGCCUGGUUACAAACUUUACAGCGCCCAAGUUAGUCGCGCCGAUUCGGCGGGCGAGGCCUCCGUUCUGCGUGGAUCAUCCUUUCGGGGUGUACCCGCAGCUGACAACCCGGCGUCCGGGUUGAUCGGUCCACAGAUCAAGUGGAGGUCGGCAGUUUUAGUUCGGGAGAACUUUCGAAGGCGGUAGUACUAAUAGCUUCCCUUCGGAGCCUCCCUCGGAACAUUGAACCUGCUUCUGAUAUGAUCGGCCUUCAGGGGAGACUCUAGGGAGUACGCGCGUGGAGCCUGCGGCUUAAUUUGACUCAACACGGGGAAACUCACCAGGUCCAGACACAAAAAGGAUUGACAGAUUGAGAGCUCUUUCUUGAUCUUGUGGGUGGUGGUGCAUGGCCGUUCUUAGUUGGUGG
This 2083-nucleotide ribosomal RNA is filed under the name Verseghya thysanophora. RNAcentral's name for it is "bacterial SSU rRNA". It matches the Rfam family "Eukaryotic small subunit ribosomal RNA", at positions 152 to 1304 of the family's 1831-position model. The record is from RNAcentral. Lineage: Eukaryota; Fungi; Ascomycota; Lecanoromycetes; Lecanorales; Lecanoraceae.